AGUUUUACACAGUGGCUGUAUCAUAGUCAAUGAGGUUUAUCUGAGGCGCAGUUAUUGCUAAUUGAAAACUCUUCCCAAUUGUUUCAGUAAGACUUCAGGUUGAGUUUGGGAUAGUUGUGCAAAGAGGCCAUCAGUGAGCCUU
This is a small nuclear RNA of Fukomys damarensis (Damara mole-rat), 142 nucleotides long. Its record names the gene U4. It matches the Rfam family "U4 spliceosomal RNA". From Rfam's summary of the family: U4 small nuclear RNA (U4 snRNA) is a component of the major U2-dependent spliceosome. The structure of U4 snRNA from yeast and human has been reported. Lineage: Eukaryota; Metazoa; Chordata; Mammalia; Rodentia; Bathyergidae. The record is from Ensembl.